CGAAACGUAGUUUAAGCUAAAACCACUUGCUUACACCAAGUAACUACCUGUGAAAAUCAGGCCGCUUCGA
RNAcentral lists this transfer RNA (70 nucleotides) under Pseudophryne bibronii (brown toadlet). Its description in RNAcentral is "tRNA-Val". The record is from RNAcentral. Lineage: Eukaryota; Metazoa; Chordata; Amphibia; Anura; Myobatrachidae.